UGAGGAAUAUUGGUCAAUGGACGAGAGUCUGAACCAGCCAAGUAGCGUGAAGGAUGAAGGUUCUAUGGAUUGUAAACUUCUUUUAUACGGGAAUAAACGAAUCCACGUGUGGAUUUUUGCAUGUACCGUAUGAAUAAGGAUCGGCUAACUCCGUGCCAGCAGCCGCGGUAAUACGGAGGAUCCGAGCGUUAUCCGGAUUUAUUGGGUUUAAAGGGAGCGUAGAUGGGUUGUUAAGUCAGUUGUGAAAGUUUGCGGCUCAACCGUAAAAUUGCAAUUGAUACUGGCAGUCUUGAGUACAGUUGAGGUAGGCGGAAUUCGUGGUGUAGCGGUGAAAUGCUUAGAUAUCACGAAGAACUCCGAUUGCGAAGGCAGCUUACUAACCUGUAACUGACAUUGAUGCUCGAAAGUGUGGGUAUCAAACAGGAUUAGAUACCCUGGUAGUCCACACCGGUAAACGAUGAAUACUCGCUGUAGGCGAUAUACAGUCUGCGGCCAAGCGAAAGCAUUAAGUAUUCCACCUGGGGAGUACGCCGGCAACGGUGAAACUCAAAGGAAUUGACGGGGGCCCGCACAAGCGGAGGAACAUGUGGUUUAAUUCGAUGAUACGCGAGGAACCUUACCCGGGCUUAAAUUGCAACCGAAUAUGGCGGAAACGCUAUAGCUAGCAAUAGCGGUUGUGAAGGUGCUGCAUGGUUGUCGUCAGCUCGUGCCGUGAGGUGUCGGCUUAAGUGCCAUAACGAGCGCAACCCUUGCCGAUAGUUACUAACAGGUUAUGCUGAGGACUCUGUCGGGACUGCCAUCGUAAGAUGUGAGGAAGGUGGGGAUGACGUCAAAUCAGCACGGCCCUUACGUCCGGGGCUACACACGUGUUACAAUGGGGGGUACAGAGGGCUGCUACCACGCAAGUGGAUGCCAAUCCCAAAAACCUCUCUCAGUUCGGAUUGAAGUCUGCAACCCGACUUCAUGAAGCUGGAUUCGCUAGUAAUCGCGCAUCAGCCACGGCGCGGUGAAUACGUUCCC
This 1020-nucleotide ribosomal RNA is filed under the name uncultured bacterium. RNAcentral describes it as "bacterial SSU rRNA". It matches the Rfam family "Bacterial small subunit ribosomal RNA", at positions 355 to 1375 of the family's 1533-position model. The record is from RNAcentral.